UAACGCCGGCGGCGUGCCUAAUACAUGCAAGUCGAGCGAAUGGAUUAAGAGCUUGCUCUUAUGAAGUUAGCGGCGGACGGGUGAGUAACACGUGGGUAACCUGCCCAUAAGACUGGGAUAACUCCGGGAAACCGGGGCUAAUACCGGAUAACAUUUUGAACCGCAUGGUUCGAAAUUGAAAGGCGGCUUCGGCUGUCACUUAUGGAUGGACCCGCGUCGCAUUAGCUAGUUGGUGAGGUAACGGCUCACCAAGGCAACGAUGCGUAGCCGACCUGAGAGGGUGAUCGGCCACACUGGGACUGAGACACGGCCCAGACUCCUACGGGAGGCAGCAGUAGGGAAUCUUCCGCAAUGGACGAAAGUCUGACGGAGCAACGCCGCGUGAGUGAUGAAGGCUUUCGGGUCGUAAAACUCUGUUGUUAGGGAAGAACAAGUGCUAGUUGAAUAAGCUGGCACCUUGACGGUACCUAACCAGAAAGCCACGGCUAACUACGUGCCAGCAGCCGCGGUAAUACGUAGGUGGCAAGCGUUAUCCGGAAUUAUUGGGCGUAAAGCGCGCGCAGGUGGUUUCUUAAGUCUGAUGUGAAAGCCCACGGCUCAACCGUGGAGGGUC
This 613-nucleotide ribosomal RNA is filed under the name Bacillus cereus. RNAcentral's name for it is "bacterial SSU rRNA". It matches the Rfam family "Bacterial small subunit ribosomal RNA", at positions 31 to 624 of the family's 1533-position model. Lineage: Bacteria; Bacillati; Bacillota; Bacilli; Caryophanales; Bacillaceae. The record is from RNAcentral.